RNAcentral lists this long non-coding RNA (240 nucleotides) under Manihot esculenta (cassava). RNAcentral describes it as "long non-coding RNA (MESC_LNC009342)". Lineage: Eukaryota; Viridiplantae; Streptophyta; Magnoliopsida; Malpighiales; Euphorbiaceae. The record is from RNAcentral.
UUUUUUUCCCUCCAAAGUAUUUUUCUUCAAAACUAUUUUCUUUCUUUCUUAAAACCUUAAAAUUUUCAAAUUCAUUUUAUAAAACCCUUAUUUUACCCUUCUAAGAGGUUUCGACAUCCAAGAUUCCAGAUUCUAACAGGGAUUCCAUUGGAAGGUUGGAAUUUCGACGCCGGAGUCUAGCCGGGUAUUACAUUCUCCCCCCCUUAAGAACAUUCAUCCCCGAAUGUUCAAUAAGCAAAC